GGCGGCGCUCCUCAAGGUGGCAUUCCUCAAGGCGGCUCUCCUGCAACCUCCGGCUCUGGUGGCCAAGUCACUUAUCCUGCAACAGGUGGUGUUACAGGUCCAGCUCAAGGAGGCAGUCAAACAGCUGGCACCAGUAGUUACUGGUAUUUUGCCGCUCCUGCAACCCCAAACUCUGGUGGCCAAGGUACUUAUCCUACAACAGGUGAUGGUCAAUCUCAAGUAAAAGGUCCAACAGCUGACAUUGGUGGUUACUGGUAUUUUGCCGCUCCUGAAUCCUCAAACUCUGGUGGCCAAGGCACAUAUCCUACAACAGGUGGUGGUCAACCAGGCAGUAACACAGCUGUCACUGGCAGGUUUGGACUGGUUCCUCAAGGCGGAACUCCUCAAGGUGGAACUCCUCAAGGCGGAACUCCUCAAGGCGGCGUUCCUCAAGGCGGCUUUCCUCAAGGUGGAACUCCUCAAGGCGGCGUUCCUCA
Perca flavescens (yellow perch) is the source of this 476-nucleotide long non-coding RNA. RefSeq lists it as uncharacterized. The transcript is spliced from 4 exons. The record is from RefSeq and is a predicted model, not a curated record. Lineage: Eukaryota; Metazoa; Chordata; Actinopteri; Perciformes; Percidae.